AUCGUUGAUGAAGAUGAGAUGAUUGUUUUAUCUUGAAUGGUUUAGAUUUCAAUUAUAAUCCUGUCAUAUCUUCCAUUCUUGGUCGAACUGACCCCAUCCUCAUGAGCGAUCUUUAUGCUCAACUAUUGUCUUAUGAGA
Small nucleolar RNA from Panicum virgatum (switchgrass), 138 nucleotides. RefSeq annotates it as small nucleolar RNA Z247. NCBI's taxonomy places the organism in Eukaryota, Viridiplantae, Streptophyta, Magnoliopsida, Poales, Poaceae. The record is from RefSeq and is a predicted model, not a curated record. The transcript has a single exon.